Molecule: small nuclear RNA, 108 nt
Organism: Pan troglodytes (chimpanzee)
Lineage: Eukaryota; Metazoa; Chordata; Mammalia; Primates; Hominidae
Source: RefSeq, a predicted model, not a curated record
AUGCUCACUUCAGCAGCACAUAUACUAAAGUUGGAAUGAUUCAGAGAAGAUUAGCAUGGCCCCUGAGCCAAGGAUGACAUGCAAAUUUGUGAAGCAUUCCAUAUUUUA